GCGCUUAUUAGUUUGUGUUACAUUUUCCUACUUCUGUUGUUGUCCUUAUUAACCAGUUUCCUGUUGUAUCCAUUAAAUGAAAUCUUAAGAAUGCUAUGUUCACAAGGUUGCAGUAUAUCCAAGAGGAAAAAACUCACAGGCACUCCAACAAUUGGGUGCGGUUCUCAUCACUUACUCUGCUCAAGGUUGCAGUAUAUGGCCUACUGUAGCGGGUGCAUGAUCUUAACACAUCUUCUGUGUUCUGAAAUAUACUGUUGAAGGCAUUAAGAAUCUUAUAAUGUAAAUUGGGGCCAAAGUAAUCAAAGAUUUGUUCCAUGUAAUCCAUGGUCCUUGAAAAUAUCUCUGAUUUUACUGUAGAUACAAACAAUAAACAAUAAUAAUCAGAAAAAUUACAUAGUCAUAUUCUCUGAAUGACUGCGUAUUAAUGGUCAGCAAUGCCACAGAUAGAUUAUACGUCUUCUGCUGCAUAAUUUGCAUAAAUCGCUGAAUUACACAUGGAGUUUUCAGGUUUAUUUUUAAUUGCUCAAAACAACCAACCCUGAUUUCCGUUGAUAAACGAUGUACUUGAAUUUUUAAAUAUUGCUGAAACAAACUGAUUGCACUG
Non-coding RNA from Pelobates cultripes (western spadefoot toad), 604 nucleotides. The record is from the annotation of a GenBank genome assembly. Lineage: Eukaryota; Metazoa; Chordata; Amphibia; Anura; Pelobatidae.